RNAcentral lists this unclassified non-coding RNA (1308 nucleotides) under Leishmania donovani. RNAcentral describes it as "gene:LdHU3.32.0810(CDS-product:AMMECR1_putative)". Lineage: Eukaryota; Euglenozoa; Kinetoplastea; Trypanosomatida; Trypanosomatidae. The record is from RNAcentral.
GUGCUUCAGCUUCUUGUGAUCGCUGCAUGCCAUCUUCGCCAUUCCCACUGAAGCGCUCUUCAGCACACACUCACGGUCGGAAAUCCCAGCCCAACAGCACAAAGGCGAAGCGUCAUCUCUGCUCACGGACAUCUCUGAAUCGCUCCCAGGCAAAGAGGGAGCAGCGAAACGCAAGACGCGCACCGCUCGCUGCAACUCCCCCCUCGCGCGACUCACUUUUCCUCCCCAUGACGGCCACACCAGAGAUGGCGGAGUACUGCCUCCGCGUCAUUGCACAGCAGAUCAGCGCCCCCGAUGGCCCAUCGGUGCCACUGCCAGUCAUCCCAAAGGAGGACUCGGCGUGCUUCGUGACACUCACGACACUGCCACAGGACCGGCUGCGCGGCUGCAUCGGAUCCCUACGGCCAGGGGACCUCAAGAAAGACAUGCGCCGACUCGCACUUGCCGCCGCCUUCCAGGACUCGCGUUUCCCCAAGGUGAAGGAGGAGGAGCUGCCGACGCUGCGGUGCUGCUUCAGCCUGCUGCACACCUUUGAGCCAUGCUCUGCCUGGAAUGACUGGGAAAUCGGCAAGCACGGCCUCAUCGCCGAUUACGACGGCUACAGCGCCACGUACUUGCCAUCGGUGGCGGAGGAGCAAGGGUGGAACCACAGAGAAACCCUCGUGAGCCUGCUGGAGAAGGCGGGCUUUGAGGAGCCGGUGACGGACCAUGUGCUGGGGAAGGUACGCCUGACCCGGUAUCAGGUCAGUAAAGCCUUUAAGGACUACAGGGAUAUUGUCGCUUCGUGAGCGGCGCCGUCGUCUGCAGCCGCGUUGUAGGUGUGCGCGGGGACUGGUAAGAGUCGGCUUCCACCUCAGUGCACACGCACAGUCACACACGAGGACGCACACGAAGACGCAAAAGGCGGCGUUGUGCCGCCAUCUCUCAAGCGUGCCUUUUUUACGUUUCGCUGUGCCUUGCCUCCGUUCCUCUUAGUGUACCCAUUGUGCUCUUGGGUGUUGGGGCGUACCUCAAAAAACACUCGCCGCCCCCGCCCCCCUCCCUCCCUCUCUCUCUUUUGCGCGCUGUGCUCCAGGCUGCACAUCUGUGCCUUGCUGUGGCAAGGUAAUGUCUCGUUUUAUGUGUCCUGUUUUGGUCCAGCUUCUUGCGCCCUAUUCUAUACAGCUCUUUACUCCCGUCGUGCAGCAGUGCGUGCGAGUGUGUGCGUGUGCCCCACGCGUUUCGCUAUUUCAAUACUCUUUCCGUUUCAUCCGGCGCUCAAAAAAAAACGAAGAGGCACCGCAGCCACAUGAGCAAGGCGAAACAUAG